This 1021-nucleotide long non-coding RNA is filed under the name Sorghum bicolor (sorghum). Its description in RNAcentral is "long non-coding RNA (SBIC_LNC015320)". The record is from RNAcentral. Lineage: Eukaryota; Viridiplantae; Streptophyta; Magnoliopsida; Poales; Poaceae.
CCAUAUGCUAUAGCUGCUGAAUUGUUUACUUACAUCUUCAACAAGUGGAGGGAAGCCAUACACUUUCUCCAGGUACUCAACUGCAACAUACUCCCCUUGUGACAACUUAAAUAUGUUCUUUUUUCGGUCAAUCACCUUCAGGAUUCCGUCUGGGGUCAUCUCUCCAAUGUCACCUGAAAAUAAGUGUGUUUGAGUAUUGUAUUGUGGAACCUUAUCUAAUUUUUUUUUUAAUUUCAUUAAAUUGAGUAUUCACCUGUAUGAAACCAUCCGUCAACUAUUGCUUCAUUUGUGAGUUCUGGACUUUUGUAGUACCCAGCGAAGAGAGAUUUCCCGUGAAUGCAGAUUUCACCACGUGAAGGGACACCAAGUGGAUCAUACCCCAUCUCGGGUACUUCUUCCAGUCGUAUUUCAGUGUAGGUGGCAGGUACACCAGCACUUCCAACCAGGGCCAUGUCAUCAAUGUAGCAGACGGUACUAGGUCCCAGUGUUUCUGUUAAACCUGAGCAAAGGUCACAGAAUCUACCCUCAUACUGGUUUCUUUUGAAUUGGCUAAUUGGGAUUUACAAGUCAGGCACUUGUUAGGAUUGAAACAGAAUAUAUAGAUUCCUGAGAAGUUUCUGCUUCUACGUAUAAAAAGCAAGGUGCAACCAUGUGCAAGUGCAAUAAAGCUAAAUACUUAAAACACAGUAGCUUUGUAAAAGUUCUCUCAAAACUAGUAUCUGCGAUGGAAAAUUGAAAUAGUGAUUCACAGCAGAGAUAGGACAAGGAUAGUAAACAGGAAACCUGGAGUCAACCUAGACAGUAAGUAAUUGGCGUUAUAAGUGUUUACUUCAUUUUGUUACACUUUAGUACUUUGCCAUUUUCUCAUUUCUCUUUCCUUUGAUGCUACAGAAUUAAUUUGGAACAGUAGAAAGUGUUUGUAUGCAUUACCAUAGCCUUGGAUAAAGUAUGCACAGGUGGUCACUCUCAUGAACUCUUCAAUCUCAUUACUUAACGGAGCCCCUCCUGAAAUUAAUAAGCG